CGGCCGCGUCGACAUUAUGCAUGAAUUAUCUGGAAACAGGUAAGCCGCAAGGCAUGUAUGAAGGUGCUGCAUGGCUGUCGUCAGCUCGUGUCGUGAGAUGUUGGGUUAAGUCCGUAACGAGCGCAACCCUUGUCCUUAGUUACCAGCACGUAAUGGUGGGCACUCUAAGGAGACUGCCGGUGACAAACCGGAGGAAGGUGGGGAUGACGUCAAGGUCGACGCGGCCG
RNAcentral lists this ribosomal RNA (227 nucleotides) under uncultured Mycobacterium sp. Its description in RNAcentral is "partial 16S ribosomal RNA". It matches the Rfam family "Bacterial small subunit ribosomal RNA", at positions 986 to 1201 of the family's 1533-position model. Lineage: Bacteria; Bacillati; Actinomycetota; Actinomycetes; Mycobacteriales; Mycobacteriaceae. The record is from RNAcentral.